AAAUUUACAUCAGACAAUUUGUAUCUUCAGAUGAUCGAAGCGGGCGUGUUAAAGGCACUUGGUUACAGUGUGGCAAAUGACAAUUUUACCCGAAAUUGUAAUAUUUAAAAAAGAAUGUAUUAAUUUUAUUCAUACCAGCGAGAUUGCAUUAAUAAGUUCUAUAACUGAGUAAAAUGUUUAGCAAAAUAUUUUUAUGGAAUAUCAUGACUCAAAAUUGGUAAAACUAAACAGUUUUUAAAAACAUUUCAUCAAUAAUUUGGAAAAUUAUUAAUUUAUUUUUUGCUGCAAAGUAUUAAAGCCUGAGUGUUGUAGUGUUUAUGUAUUAUAUUUUGCCUCCAAAGGUCACUGGUUUGAAUCCUAGGCCAUGUUUUUUUCAACCUUUUUCUGGACUUUAUAAUUAUUUAAGUCUAUUCAAAAUAAUAGAUAUUUGUUGAAAUUUACAUUUAAUGAAUUUAAAUAAUCAAUUAUGUGAACAAGUCCCUUUAACUGAACUCAUGCAAUAAAAUUUUACCCUAUUUUCAGAAAAUGGUGUAUACCCAUACCAUCAGCCAAAAUGUUAUGUUAAGCGUAUAGCAUUGUUAUCAGCGAAAUGUUAACCUACAUACAACAUCUUUUCCUUUCUUCGCUUUGUACUUGCCGUGUGUAUUUUAAGUGUGUUGUGGGCUUAAACAGCCAAUAUAGAACAAUUGCGAGUUUAAAGUCUAGUACAUUGAUUAUUAUACUAACUUAAAACUGUGUGUGUGUGUGUGUGUGUGUGUCUUUAUGCAACAUAUUCUGGUUCUGAUAAUAUACAAUUGUAUUUAACAAGAAGAGCCAAUAUAACAGUGAAUAAACAACAUUUAGUAGGAGGACAGUUAACAAUAACUAUUGAAAAUGGCAACUUAUGUAGAUGCAAUUCAUAAAAGUUCAGAUCAGAUUAAUCCAGACCAGAUGUAUGUGAAGAAGAAGUCCGAGUAUAAUGUGAAAAUAAAAAGCGACGUAAGUCAGACAUGUUACAUCUCGGGCAUUUGCAUCUUGCCUAGUGGUGAGACCAUUGUUGCAGAUUAUACUAAUAAGAGAGUGAAAAUGUUGGACAAGCAUUACAAUGUGUAUGGCGACUUGAAAGUAGAUGGUAAUCCGCAGGACAUUUGCCAAAUCUUGCCCGAACAGGUUGCUAUAACUUUUGAGAAUAGAGUUCAAUUUAUCAAUGUUAUCAAAAAAGGCCGGUUACCAUAUGCUAUUCAUGGCAUAAGCGUUUAUGAAACUAGGGAGUUACCACAUGCUACUCUUGGUAUUACCUACCAUCAGGGUGAUUUGUAUAUCACCUCAGGCACUGCUCUCUAUCACUACGACCUCAGUGGGACAGAUUUGACACAUAAGAAAUCCCUAUAUGAGGAUACUGGAAGUGGCAUUACAGAUCUUUGGAUGACCAGGAUCCGUAUUCGCCAAUAAUAAACUCAAACUUAAACUCAAACUCAGACUUUGACUCAGACUUAGACUUACAGAAGACAGACUCAGUAUUUGUAUUCACGAACGCGUUUGAAACUUUUACAACUUUUACGAUGGAGUGUCCGUCAGUUGAAGAAAGCGAAAUGAAGCGUCAGAAGGCUCCAGAUUUGACCGAGCCAGCAGAGAUUGUUUUGAACGCGCUGGUUCGGGACCACUGGAGUCUUUUAUUCGGCGAAUACAAGGGAAUCGGAGCCGAAACAAUUUCCGUUAUUCGAAGAAAAAAAAUGGGACGAGGUGGCGAGCAGAAUAUCAUUAGAAUUCGGGGUCGCAAGAACCGGAGAACAGUGCCGUAAGAAGUUUCAAAAUUCCAAGUAAAGGCUCGGUACAUAAAAAAGUUGGAGAAAUGCGGCACCCAGCCAAGGGCGGUGGUGAUGCAGUCCAGUUUACAUCGUCGCAGGAGAUGCUUGCCUCAACGAUGGAAGGCCGCCCUGUUGUUCAAGGAAUAACAUGGGGAAUAGACUCGGACGCUUCUUCAUAUGCAUUACAAAGAAGUGAGUGUGCCAAAACAGCCCGCAGUGAAGAACUCAAUGGUAAAUAAAUAGAUUAUCAUAUAUAUGCAAACCAUCACAAUAAACAUCACAGUGAACAUGCAAACCUUAUGUAUACAUCCAAUUGAACACAGUGUACAAUAUAAUAGAUAUCUAUCCUUAUAUAAAACAUUACAAAAGAAAGAACAUGCAAUAAAUUAACAUUUAACAUUUUGCUUGCAAAUUAACGCUGGGAGUAUUAUACAUUAACUUAAGUAUAGUAUAUUAACAUUAGUUGUCCAUUGUAUUGCAUGGAAAACAUCACUGGAUUUAAUUAAUUUUGAUUUUUAAAGUGGCAAUCUAAUUUUUAUGCCCCAAGAUCGAAUGAUCAGGGGGUACAUUUUGUAAAUUAUUUUUGGCCUGUCUGUCUGUCUGUCUGUGUGCCUGUCUGUCUGUCAUUGCAUGUGUGUGUCUGUCCCAAAACUUUAACCUUGCUGAUAAAAUGAAAACUCUUGGGUCUAUGUUCUCUAAACUUCACAUGUGCAUGCAUCUCAUUGAGAUCUACAAUCAAACAUGGUUUGAGAUCACUCGGUCAAAGGUCAAGGCAACUGUGACCUUUACAUUCAAAAUAUAACCUUGUUAAUAAAAUGAAAAGUUGAAUUUCUAAAGUAGCUGCCAUGCGGCUUCAGAACGCAGUAGGGGGCAUUGUGUUUUACAAACAAAGCUCGUUGUUUUUUUCAGAUUCCACAUGUAAUGUCAAUAGAGACAAGAAGCGAAAAGAAUAUAAGUUUUGGAUAUGUUUAAAUAAAUAUUUCAAUGUGUCCGUAGCAAUAAUCUUAACCACUAAAAAGGUUGUCAAUUUGAAACUUAAUAUUAUGGUAGCUCUAAUUUGUAAGUGCACUGCAAAAGAUCACAAAAUGUUCAUUCUUAUUUUUGUUCAAAGGCAUAGUUUGUCUAUAAUAACAAGUAUAAAGAAGACACGUUAAAAGUAUGAAACUUGCAUUGAUGGAAUACCAGUUCUUAAAACUGGAUUGACAAUACUAUCUGAGAAAGCAAGCAUCGUAUAAAUAAUAUGUUAUUAUUUAGUAUGCAAAAAUAUCAUGCACACUUUAAAAUAUGACUAGCAUUAAAUAUGCCAAAAUUAAUUACUAAUGAAAAGAUGCGAUAUGUAUUGAUUUAAAAUUUGAAUGUCAUAACCUGAGAAUACGUCCAUUUAUCAAAAUUACACUGUUUAACCUUUUUUCAGCAUUUACAAAGUAGGCCGAUAAAAGAUUUUCCUGCAAUACAUUAACUACGCUGACAUCUGCAAACAUGGAAAAAGACAUUGAAAUGUUAAAUCUAGAAAUAAACAAAUAAAAGGUAGAAAUUGAAAAAAUCCAAAAAGAAAAAAACAUUACUGCAUUUAAAAAUGAAAAUGAAAAACAUUAUUCCUUAUGUUUACAGAAAAAAACAUUAUAUAUCAAUGGCAAAGUUUUAAACAGCUUGUAGACAUUGAAGAUGCUGAAUUUGUGGAUAGUUAGCAACUGCCAAAAUUAUUGUUAAACAAUAACACAUUUCAGAAAAGAUACAAAUUCAUCAUCUUCAAAAGUCCAUAUUUUAAUAAUUUUUUCUAUGUAAGUUGAUAAAAAACUGAUGACAUGUUUCUUAGUUUACGAAUGACAACCGGCUAAAAUUAACAUGUAGUUGUUAAAUAAAUUAUUUUUUGUUAACAAUAAACGUGUAUCAUAGAAAAACAAUUAGAUUAAGUUUCAGCAUAACACACAAAAUAUUUGUUAAGCCAUACCUGCAAAUUGAUUGUGGGUAUACCCUUUCUCCCUAUGAAGUCUUCCACGUGAUCAUUUGGCUUUUUUAUGUGCACGUGUGUGCCAUCAAUACAUCCCAAUGUGCUUGGGAAACCUGAAAGUUAAUCAUUUAAAAUUAAGAUAUUUCGGGGAAAAUUUAAAUAUUAAUAAAUAAAUGGAUUUUGGUUUAAAUGUAAUGUUAUUUGUGACUGUAUGUCUGUAAUAUGGAAUGAAAGUUUUACCUAAAGUCAGUUAGAAGUUAUGUAAUAUGCUGACGUGUCUUGAAUUGAUUAUCAAAUUUAAUAUCAUCAUUAUUGAAAAUGCAAUUAAUACGGUCACGUGAGAAUAAAAUAAUGUUUACAGCUGU
Molecule: long non-coding RNA, 4103 nt
Organism: Dreissena polymorpha
Lineage: Eukaryota; Metazoa; Mollusca; Bivalvia; Myida; Dreissenidae
Exons: 5
Source: RefSeq, a predicted model, not a curated record